RNAcentral lists this ribosomal RNA (371 nucleotides) under Klebsiella pneumoniae. RNAcentral's name for it is "partial 23S ribosomal RNA". It matches the Rfam family "Bacterial large subunit ribosomal RNA", at positions 2453 to 2823 of the family's 2925-position model. The record is from RNAcentral. Lineage: Bacteria; Pseudomonadati; Pseudomonadota; Gammaproteobacteria; Enterobacterales; Enterobacteriaceae.
CGGAUAAAAGGUACUCCGGGGAUAACAGGCUGAUACCGCCCAAGAGUUCAUAUCGACGGCGGUGUUUGGCACCUCGAUGUCGGCUCAUCACAUCCUGGGGCUGAAGUAGGUCCCAAGGGUAUGGCUGUUCGCCAUUUAAAGUGGUACGCGAGCUGGGUUUAGAACGUCGUGAGACAGUUCGGUCCCUAUCUGCCGUGGGCGCUGGAGAAUUGAGGGGGGCUGCUCCUAGUACGAGAGGACCGGAGUGGACGCAUCACUGGUGUUCGGGUUGUCAUGCCAAUGGCACUGCCCGGUAGCUAAAUGCGGAAGAGAUAAGUGCUGAAAGCAUCUAAGCACGAAACUUGCCCCGAGAUGAGUUCUCCCUGAGACUU